This 71-nucleotide transfer RNA is filed under the name Loxodonta africana (African savanna elephant). It matches the Rfam family "tRNA". From Rfam's summary of the family: Transfer RNA (tRNA) molecules are approximately 80 nucleotides in length. Lineage: Eukaryota; Metazoa; Chordata; Mammalia; Proboscidea; Elephantidae. The record is from Rfam by way of RNAcentral.
GCAUUGGUGGUUCAGUGGUAGAAUUCUUGCCUUCCAUGUGGGAGAUCUGGGUUUGAUUCCUAGCCAAUAUA